UACGGGGGGGGCAAGCGUUGUUCGGAUUUACUGGGCGUAAAGCGUGCGCAGGCGGUUGGUUAAGUCUGAUGUGAAAGCCCCGGGCUCAACCUGGGAAUGGCAUUGGAAACUGGCUGGCUAGAGUGUGGCAGAGGGGGGUGGAAUUCCGCGUGUAGCAGUGAAAUGCGUAGAUAUCUGGAGGAACACCGGUGGCGAAGGCGGCAUCCUGGACCACGACUGACACUGAAAAGCGAAAGCCAGGGGAGCAAACGGG
RNAcentral lists this ribosomal RNA (253 nucleotides) under uncultured bacterium. RNAcentral describes it as "partial 16S ribosomal RNA". It matches the Rfam family "Bacterial small subunit ribosomal RNA", at positions 524 to 776 of the family's 1533-position model. The record is from RNAcentral.